GGGCCCGUAGCUCAGCCAGGAAAGAGCGGUGGCCUCCGGAGCCACAGGACCCGGGUUCAAAUCCCGGCGGGCCCGCCA
Molecule: transfer RNA, 78 nt
Filed under: Thermoprotei archaeon
Lineage: Archaea; Thermoproteati; Thermoproteota; Thermoprotei
Description: tRNA-Arg
Rfam family: tRNA
About the family: Transfer RNA (tRNA) molecules are approximately 80 nucleotides in length.
Source: RNAcentral